GAGCCCAGGAGGUGGAGCUUGCAGUGAGCCGAGAUCGCACCACUGCACUGCAGCCUGGGCGACAGAGUGAGACUCUGUCUCAAAAAAGAAAGAAAAAAAAAAAGAUAAAAUUACCAGAAAAUAUUAAACAGGCAGCACUGAGAAGUGAAGGAAUAUUUGGGAGGAUCAGAAGCUUGGUCCUGAUUUUGCCAUCAACAGGAACUUGAUGACUUCAAGGGAGUCCCCAAACCCUGGGUUUCUGUUUUCUCAACUCUAACAUGAGGGGCUAGAUGCAUCUGGUUUAGUUAGUCUCCAUGAUGGUUUAGUUCGUCUCCAUGAUCCUGUGAAUUUCAGAUGUUGAAAAUCUUUGGAAAAGCCCUGAAAGAUGAACAGUGGUCUCAAAUAGUCAAGACCCCCUGCUGGGAGGAGCUAUCCUGCUCUUUGGAA
RNAcentral lists this non-coding RNA (426 nucleotides) under Pan troglodytes (chimpanzee). Lineage: Eukaryota; Metazoa; Chordata; Mammalia; Primates; Hominidae. The record is from RNAcentral.